UGUUUGUAUUUUUAGUAGAGAUGGAGUUUCACCAUGUUGGCCAGGCUGGUCUUGAACUCCUGACCUCAAGUGAUCCGCCCGCCUCAGCCUCCCGAAGUGCUGGGAUUACAGGGGUGAACCAUCAUGCCUGGCCCUGAUCACUUGACUUUUUAAUUUUUAAAAAUAAAUAAAACCUUAUUUUCUGGAAAAGCCCUGUCCCGUUGGCACUUGUUCUAUUUUCUUCUGUGUUCCCUACAGCAGGGGACCUCCUCGCCCACGACCUGCCCCAGCAGUUGGAGAGGCUGAAGAUAAAGAAAAUCAGCAAGCCACCAGUGGUCCAAACCAGCAGUCUGUUCGCCGUGGAUACCGGCGUCCCUACAAUUACCGGCGUCGCCCGCGUCCUCCUAACGCUCCUUCACAAGAUGGCAAAGAGGCCAAGGCAGGUGAAGCACCAACUGAGAACCCUGCUCCACCCACCCAGCAGAGCAGUGCUGAGUAACACCAGGCUCCCCAGGCACCUUCACCAUCGGCAG
RNAcentral lists this small RNA (512 nucleotides) under Pongo abelii (Sumatran orangutan). RNAcentral's name for it is "retained intron". The record is from RNAcentral. Lineage: Eukaryota; Metazoa; Chordata; Mammalia; Primates; Hominidae.